This 262-nucleotide ribosomal RNA is filed under the name uncultured bacterium. RNAcentral describes it as "partial 16S ribosomal RNA". It matches the Rfam family "Bacterial small subunit ribosomal RNA", at positions 524 to 785 of the family's 1533-position model. The record is from RNAcentral.
UACGUAGGUGGCAAGCGUUGUCCGGAUUUACUGGGCGUAAAGAGCGCGCAGGCGGCUGGUCAAGUCCGAUGUGAAAUCUCCCGGCUCAACUGGGAAACUGCAUCGGAAACUGAUCGGCUUGAAGGUGGGAGAGGGUAGUGGAAUUCCCGGUGUAGUGGUGGAAUGCGUAGAUAUCGGGAGGAACACCAGUGGCGAAGGCGACUACCUGGCCCAUUCUUGACGCUGAGGCGCGAAAGCUAGGGGAGCAAACCGGAUUAGACUA